Molecule: ribosomal RNA, 499 nt
Filed under: Naganishia albidosimilis
Lineage: Eukaryota; Fungi; Basidiomycota; Tremellomycetes; Filobasidiales; Filobasidiaceae
Description: eukaryotic LSU rRNA
Rfam family: 5.8S ribosomal RNA (bases 61-214)
Source: RNAcentral
CUAUCCAUCUACUUUACAUAACAAUUUAGUAACAAAUGUAGUCUUAUUAUAACAUAAUAAAACUUUCAACAACGGAUCUCUUGGCUCUCGCAUCGAUGAAGAACGCAGCGAAAUGCGAUAAGUAAUGUGAAUUGCAGAAUUCAGUGAAUCAUCGAAUCUUUGAACGCACCUUGCGCUCCCUGGUAUUCCGGGGAGCAUGCCUGUUUGAGUGUCAUGAAAACCCUCAACCUUAGAUUGGUUAACACCUUUCUUUGGCUUGGAUUUGGACGUUUGCCGAUGAUAAGUCGGCUCGUCUUAAAAGUAAUAGCUGGAUCUGUCUCGCGACAUGGUUUGACUUGGCGUAAUAAGUAUUUCGCUAAGGACAUCUUCGGAUGGCCGCGUUGCAAGACUAAAGACCGCUUUCUAAUCCAUUGAUCUUCGGAUUAAUAUUCUUGACAUCUGGCCUCAAAUCAGGUAGGACUACCCGCUGAACUUAAGCAUAUCAAUAAGCGGAGGAAAA